Long non-coding RNA from Pelmatolapia mariae (spotted tilapia), 1008 nucleotides. RefSeq lists it as uncharacterized. Lineage: Eukaryota; Metazoa; Chordata; Actinopteri; Cichliformes; Cichlidae. The record is from RefSeq and is a predicted model, not a curated record. The transcript is spliced from 4 exons.
UUUCUUCUUUUCAUGCCGCCACCAUGGGAAGCGCCCACAAAUGUGUCAUUUCACACUGGCAGCAGGCUGGCGGAGCUAGCUGUGGUGCUUGUUUUCUCUGACUUUGCUGUUUCACCGUGUUUAGAUAACGUGUCAUCUGCAAAAAGUUGCACUCAUUUUCCUGCUUUAGCUUUGUACUCACACACACACACACACACACACACACACACACACACACACACACACACGUGUGUGUUAGUUUAGUCUGUUUCAACCUCUCUUCGUGUGGAAACACACAUAUCUAGAACUAUUCUUUAAGGAUGUCUGCAUUUCACACAACUGUCUAAUAGGAUAAAAUAAUUGACAUUGUAUACCCAAAGGUCAAGUCUGGAUAAACGUGUAUAUGAUCUCCAACUUGAAUGCAAAGCCAAGGCAUAUAAUUGUGUGGUGUGUCAACUCUAAUUUGUUUCCUCUCUGUGCAGGGGGAUGACUGAAGCUAUCACCUUGCUAAUCCUUGCUGUCCAAACUGGCCUCAUUGAGCUGCAGGAGUUUGUGGAAGCACUUCCGUGCAGUUUCUCUCUGUCCCUUCCUGCUGACCUUUCCAGCGUACAUGGCUUAUAUGAUCUGCCAGUUCUUCCACAUGGACUUCUGGCUUCUCAUCAUCAUCUCCUCCUCAAUCCUCACCUCUCUCCAGGUGCUUGGCACUCUGUUGAUCUGUUGUUCUCUUCAUGGUGGAGGAGUUUCGUAAAGCUCCAGUGGAGAACGUGGAUGAAGUCAUAUAUUGUGUAAAUGGGACCUACAGAUGCUGGAGUUUCUGGUUGCGGUGUGCGUGGUGUGCUAUGGUGUAUCAGAGACUGUAUUUGGCGAGUGGAGUGUGAUGGGAAGCACCAUCAUCUUGGUCCACUCGUACUAUAACGUCUGGCUCAGAGCCCAGCUGGGCUGGCAGAGCUUCCUGCUCAGGAGAGAUGCUGUAAACAAGACAAAAAGCCUCCCCACAGCUAGCAAUACACAGCUGGAGCAGUAUAAUGA